Solea solea (common sole) is the source of this 138-nucleotide small nucleolar RNA. RefSeq annotates it as small nucleolar RNA SNORA57. NCBI's taxonomy places the organism in Eukaryota, Metazoa, Chordata, Actinopteri, Pleuronectiformes, Soleidae. The transcript has a single exon. The record is from RefSeq and is a predicted model, not a curated record.
CCUCCUUUCUUGGCAUACUCGUUGUUUCCCCAUACACGUGUGUGUAUGUGAUGGAGGAAAAUGAAAAGUCCAGUGCUAUGUCUUCGGUGCCAGGGAGUCGACCAUCUUCUGGUUCUAUCCUCAAUCACUGGCACAACC